UCAAGUGAAGAAGCGCAUACGGUGGAUGCCUUGGCAGUCAGAGGCGAUGAAAGACGUGGUAGCCUGCGAAAAGCUUCGGGGAGUCGGCAAACAGACUUUGAUCCGGAGAUGUCUGAAUGGGGGAACCCAGCCAUCAUAAGAUGGUUAUCUUGUACUGAAUACAUAGGUGCAAGAGGCGAACCAGGGGAACUGAAACAUCUAAGUACCCUGAGGAAAAGAAAUCAACCGAGAUUCCCUUAGUAGUGGCGAGCGAACGGGGACUAGCCCUUAAGUGGCUUUGAGAUUAGCGGAACGCUCUGGAAAGUGCGGCCAUAGUGGGUGAUAGCCCUGUACGCGAAAAUCUCUUAGUCAUGAAAUCGAGUAGGACGGAGCACGAGAAACUUUGUCUGAAUAUGGGGGGACCAUCCUCCAAGGCUAAAUACUACUGACUGACCGAUAGUGAACUAGUACCGUGAGGGAAAGGCGAAAAGAACCCCGGAGAGGGGAGUGAAAUAGAUCCUGAAACCGUAUGCGUACAAGCAGUGGGAGCAGACUUUGUUCUGUGACUGCGUACCUUUUGUAUAAUGGGUCAGCGACUUAUUUUCAGUGGCGAGCUUAACCGAAUAGGGGAGGCGUAGCGAAAGCGAGUCUUAAUAGGGCGUCUAGUCGCUGGGAAUAGACCCGAAACCGGGCGAUCUAUCCAUGGGCAGGUUGAAGGUUAGGUAACACUGACUGGAGGACCGAACCGACUACCGUUGAAAAGUUAGCGGAUGACCUGUGGAUCGGAGUGAAAGGCUAAUCAAGCUCGGAGAUAGCUGGUUCUCCUCGAAAGCUAUUUAGGUAGCGCCUCAUGUAUCACUGUAGGGGGUAGAGCACUGUUUCGGCUAGGGGGUCAUCCCGACUUACCAAACCGAUGCAAACUCCGAAUACCUACAAGUGCCGAGCAUGGGAGACACACGGCGGGUGCUAACGUCCGUCGUGAAAAGGGAAACAACCCAGACCGUCAGCUAAGGUCCCAAAGUUAUGGUUAAGUGGGAAACGAUGUGGGAAGGCUUAGACAGCUAGGAGGUUGGCUUAGAAGCAGCCACCCUUUAAAGAAAGCGUAAUAGCUCACUAGUCGAGUCGGCCUGCGCGGAAGAUGUAACGGGGCUCAAACCAUACACCGAAGCUACGGGUAUCAUCUUAGGAUGAUGCGGUAGAGGAGCGUUCUGUAAGCCUGUGAAGGUGAGUUGAGAAGCUUGCUGGAGGUAUCAGAAGUGCGAAUGCUGACAUGAGUAACGACAAUGGGUGUGAAAAACACCCACGCCGAAAGACCAAGGUUUCCUGCGCAACGUUAAUCGACGCAGGGUUAGUCGGUCCCUAAGGCGAGGCUGAAAAGCGUAGUCGAUGGAAAACAGGUUAAUAUUCCUGUACUUCUGGUUAUUGCGAUGGAGGGACGGAGAAGGCUAGGCCAGCUUGGCGUUGGUUGUCCAAGUUUAAGGUGGUAGGCUGAGAUCUUAGGUAAAUCCGGGAUCUUAAGGCCGAGAGCUGAUGACGAGUGUUCUUUUAGAACACGAAGUGGUUGAUGCCAUGCUUCCAAGAAAAGCUUCUAAGCUUCAGGUAACCAGGAACCGUACCCCAAACCGACACAGGUGGUUGGGUAGAGAAUACCAAGGCGCUUGAGAGAACUCGGGUGAAGGAACUAGGCAAAAUGGCACCGUAACUUCGGGAGAAGGUGCGCCGGUGAGGGUGAAGGACUUGCUCCGUAAGCUCAUGCCGGUCGAAGAUACCAGGCCGCUGCGACUGUUUAUUAAAAACACAGCACUCUGCAAACACGAAAGUGGACGUAUAGGGUGUGACGCCUGCCCGGUGCCGGAAGGUUAAUUGAUGGGGUUAGCUAACGCGAAGCUCUUGAUCGAAGCCCCGGUAAACGGCGGCCGUAACUAUAACGGUCCUAAGGUAGCGAAAUUCCUUGUCGGGUAAGUUCCGACCUGCACGAAUGGCGUAACGAUGGCGGCGCUGUCUCCACCCGAGACUCAGUGAAAUUGAAAUCGCUGUGAAGAUGCAGUGUAUCCGCGGCUAGACGGAAAGACCCCGUGAACCUUUACUAUAGCUUUGCACUGGACUUUGAAUUUGCUUGUGUAGGAUAGGUGGGAGGCUUUGAAGCGUGGACGCCAGUUCGCGUGGAGCCAUCCUUGAAAUACCACCCUGGCAACUUUGAGGUUCUAACUCAGGUCCGUUAUCCGGAUCGAGGACAGUGUAUGGUGGGUAGUUUGACUGGGGCGGUCUCCUCCUAAAGAGUAACGGAGGAGUACGAAGGUGCGCUCAGACCGGUCGGAAAUCGGUCGUAGAGUAUAAAGGCAAAAGCGCGCUUGACUGCGAGACAGACACGUCGAGCAGGUACGAAAGUAGGUCUUAGUGAUCCGGUGGUUCUGUAUGGAAGGGCCAUCGCUCAACGGAUAAAAGGUACUCCGGGGAUAACAGGCUGAUACCGCCCAAGAGUUCAUAUCGACGGCGGUGUUUGGCACCUCGAUGUCGGCUCAUCACAUCCUGGGGCUGAAGCCGGUCCCAAGGGUAUGGCUGUUCGCCAUUUAAAGUGGUACGCGAGCUGGGUUUAGAACGUCGUGAGACAGUUCGGUCCCUAUCUGCCGUGGACGUUUGAGAUUUGAGAGGGGCUGCUCCUAGUACGAGAGGACCGGAGUGGACGAACCUCUGGUGUUCCGGUUGUCACGCCAGUGGCAUUGCCGGGUAGCUAUGUUCGGGAAAGAUAACCGCUGAAAGCAUCUAAGCGGGAAACUUGCCUCAAGAUGAGAUCUCACUGGAACCUUGAGUUCCCUGAAGGGCCGUCGAAGACUACGACGUUGAUAGGUUGGGUGUGUAAGCGCUGUGAGGCGUUGAGCUAACCAAUACUAAUUGCCCGUGAGGCUUGACC
This 2890-nucleotide ribosomal RNA is filed under the name Pseudomonas fluorescens. RNAcentral's name for it is "23S ribosomal RNA". It matches the Rfam family "Bacterial large subunit ribosomal RNA". The record is from RNAcentral. Lineage: Bacteria; Pseudomonadati; Pseudomonadota; Gammaproteobacteria; Pseudomonadales; Pseudomonadaceae.